GAUGAAGAACGUAGCGAAAUGCGAUAAGUAAUGUGAAUUGCAGAAUUCAGUGAAUCAUCGAAUCUUUGAACGCACAUUGCGCCCGCCAGUAUUCUGGCGGGCAUACCUGUUCGAGCGUCAUUUCAACCAUCAAGCCCCAGGCUUGUGUUGGAGCCCUGCGGCUGCCGCAGCCUCCCAAAACCAGUGGCGGGCUCGCUAUCACACCGAGUGCAGUAGUUUACUCUUCGCUCAGGGCGUGUGGCGGGUGCUAGCCGUAAAACCCCCAACUUCUCAAGGUUGACCUCGGAUCAGGUAGGAAUACCCGCUGAACUUAAGCAUAUCAAUAAGCGGAGGA
This 334-nucleotide unclassified non-coding RNA is filed under the name soil metagenome. Its description in RNAcentral is "partial contains 5.8S ribosomal RNA, internal transcribed spacer 2, and large subunit ribosomal RNA". The stretch from base 1 to 120 matches the Rfam family "5.8S ribosomal RNA", at positions 35 to 154 of the family's 154-position model. The record is from RNAcentral.